GAUAAGGUUAAGUGAAUAAGGGCGCACGGUGGAUGCCUUGGCACUAGGAGCCGAUGAAGGACGGGACUAACACCGAUAUGCUUUGGGGAGCUGUAAGUAAGCUAUGAUCCAGAGAUUUCCGAAUGGGGGAACCCAAUAUCUUUUAUAGGAUAUUACUUUUCAGUGAAUACAUAGCUGAUUAGAGGUAGACGCAGAGAACUGAAACAUCUUAGUACCUGCAGGAAGAGAAAGAAAAUUCGAUUCCCUGAGUAGCGGCGAGCGAAACGGGAAGAGCCCAAACCAACAAGCUUGCUUGUUGGGGUUGUAGGACUCCAAUAUGGUAGUCUGUUAGUAUAGUUGAAGGAUUUGGAAAAUUCCGCUAAAGAGGGUGAAAGCCCCGUAGACGAAAUGCUGACAACACCUAGGAGGAUCCUGAGUACGGCGGAACACGAGAAAUUCCGUCGGAAUCCGCGGGGACCAUCCCGCAAGGCUAAAUACUCCCUAGUGACCGAUAGUGAACCAGUACCGUGAGGGAAAGGUGAAAAGCACCCCGGAAGGGGAGUGAAAUAGAUCCUGAAACCGUGUGCCUACAACAAGUCAAAGCUCGUUAAUGAGUGAUGGCGUGCCUUUUGUAGAAUGAACCGGCGAGUUACGAUUGCAUGCGAGGUUAAGUCGAAGAGACGGAGCCGCAGCGAAAGCGAGUCUGAAUAGGGCGAAUGAGUAUGUAGUCGUAGACCCGAAACCAUGUGAUCUACCCAUGUCCAGGUUGAAGGUGCGGUAAAACGCACUGGAGGACCGAACCCACGUACGUUGAAAAGUGCGGGGAUGAGGUGUGGGUAGCGGAGAAAUUCCAAACGAACUUGGAGAUAGCUGGUUCUCUCCGAAAUAGCUUUAGGGCUAGCCUCGGAAUUGA
RNAcentral lists this ribosomal RNA (892 nucleotides) under Enterococcus faecalis. RNAcentral's name for it is "partial 23S ribosomal RNA". It matches the Rfam family "Bacterial large subunit ribosomal RNA", at positions 1 to 891 of the family's 2925-position model. The record is from RNAcentral. Lineage: Bacteria; Bacillati; Bacillota; Bacilli; Lactobacillales; Enterococcaceae.